Molecule: long non-coding RNA, 283 nt
Organism: Mauremys mutica (yellowpond turtle)
Lineage: Eukaryota; Metazoa; Chordata; Testudines; Geoemydidae
Exons: 3
Source: RefSeq, a predicted model, not a curated record
CCGGCGCGGGCCGGCAGCGCAGAGCGGCCAGAGGCAGGACGGAGUCACCGCGCCGCGACCGCAGGUUCGAGCCCCGAGGCGAUGGAGUCCGUGUGGGGCUGCGUCCUGCUGGGCGCGCUGCUGAGCCAAGCGGCGGCCCUGCGAUGUUACUCUUGUGAUGGGGCCCGGAGCUGCCAGGAGACGGAGGACUGUGGGGAGCAGCAGGGCCGGUGUCGCACGACUGUCCUCACCAUGAUCGCCCGCUCCGAGGUCUCCAAGCGGAUCCAGAAGGGCUGCGACGUGG